This 525-nucleotide ribosomal RNA is filed under the name uncultured Pleosporales. Its description in RNAcentral is "eukaryotic LSU rRNA". The stretch from base 162 to 315 matches the Rfam family "5.8S ribosomal RNA". Lineage: Eukaryota; Fungi; Ascomycota; Dothideomycetes; Pleosporales. The record is from RNAcentral.
GACUGCGGAGGAUCAUUAUCGUAGGGCUUCGGCCCUGUCGAGAUAGAACCCUUGCCUUUUUGAGUACCUUUCGUUUCCUCGGCAGGCUCGCCUGCCAAUGGGGACCACAAAAAACACUUUGCAGUACCUGUAACAGUCUGAACAAACAAAACAAAAAUUAAAACUUUCAACAACGGAUCUCUUGGUUCUGGCAUCGAUGAAGAACGCAGCGAAAUGCGAUAAGUAAUGUGAAUUGCAGAAUUCAGUGAAUCAUCGAAUCUUUGAACGCACAUUGCGCCCUCUGGUAUUCCGGGGGGCAUGCCUGUUCGAGCGUCAUUACAACCCUCAAGCUUUGCUUGGUAUUGGACAUUGCCAGUUUCUGGCAGGUCUUAAAAUCAGUGGCGGUGCCAUUUGGCUUCAAGCGUAGUAAUUCUUCUCGCUUUGGAGAUCCAGGUGGUUACUUGCCAAUAACCCCCAAUUUUUUCAGGUUGACCUCGGAUCAGGUAGGGAUACCCGCUGAACUUAAGCAUAUCAAUAAGCGGAGGA